RNAcentral lists this ribosomal RNA (253 nucleotides) under uncultured bacterium. RNAcentral describes it as "partial 16S ribosomal RNA". It matches the Rfam family "Bacterial small subunit ribosomal RNA", at positions 524 to 776 of the family's 1533-position model. The record is from RNAcentral.
UACGUAGGGACCAAGCGUUGUUCGGAUUUACUGGGCGUAAAGGGCGCGUAGGCGGCGUGGCAAGUCAUCUGUGAAAUCUCCGAGCUUAACUCGGAACGGUCAGAUGAUACUGCUGUGCUAGAGUACAGAAAGGGCAAUCGGAAUUCUUGGUGUAGCGGUGAAAUGCGUAGAUAUCAAGAGGAACACCUGAGGCGAAGGCGGGUUGCUAGGCUGAUACUGACGCUGAAGCGCGAAAGCUAGGGUAGUAAACGGG